AUUCUUAUAGUUUAAUAAAAACAUUUUAUUUUCAUUAAAAAGAUGAUUUUUGAAUCUAUGAAUA
RNAcentral lists this transfer RNA (64 nucleotides) under Ziczacella heptapotamica. RNAcentral's name for it is "tRNA-Glu". The record is from RNAcentral. Lineage: Eukaryota; Metazoa; Arthropoda; Insecta; Hemiptera; Cicadellidae.